RNAcentral lists this ribosomal RNA (434 nucleotides) under uncultured bacterium. RNAcentral describes it as "partial 16S ribosomal RNA". It matches the Rfam family "Bacterial small subunit ribosomal RNA", at positions 29 to 507 of the family's 1533-position model. The record is from RNAcentral.
AGCGAACGCUGGCGGCAGGCCUAACACAUGCAAGUCGAACGAACCUUUCGGGGUUAGUGGCGGACGGGUGAGUAACACGUGGGAACGUGCCUUUAGGUUCGGAAUAACUCAGGGAAACUUGUGCUAAUACCGAAUGUGCCCUUCGGGGGCAAGAUUUAUCGCCUUUAGAGCGGCCCGCGUCUGAUUAGCUAGUUGGUUGAGGUAAUGGCGCACCAAGGCGACGAUCAGUAGCUGGUCUGAGAGGAUGAUCAGCCACAUUGGGACUGAGACACGGCCCAAACUCCUACAGGAGGCAGCAGUGGGGGAUCUUGCGCAAUGGGCGAAAGCCUGACGCAGCCAUGCCGCGUGAAUGAUGAAGGUCUUAGGAUUGUAAAAUUCUUUCACCGGGGACGAUAAUGACGGUACCCGGAGAAGAAGCCCCGGCUAACUUCGUG